This 233-nucleotide long non-coding RNA is filed under the name Hordeum vulgare. RNAcentral describes it as "long non-coding RNA (HVUL_LNC016115)". The record is from RNAcentral. Lineage: Eukaryota; Viridiplantae; Streptophyta; Magnoliopsida; Poales; Poaceae.
UUUUUUCUUUUUAUUUCCCCCUUUUCUUUCUUUCUUUUUUUGUCUUUCUCUCUCUCUUUCCUUCCCUCUUCUUCUUCCUUCCUUCUGUGUUCUACCGUGACGUUCCUUUCUUCCCAGCGCCCUUGCCUUCCAUGGCAGCCCGAUCCCCUUCCCCCUCAGCCCCGAUUCUUUUCCUCUGGAGCCUCUCCUCUCCCCCUAUAAAUAAUUUCCACCGCCGCCUCGCCCCGUUCCCC